GUAUAUUGACUGUACAAAGGUAGCAUAAUCAUUAGUCAUUUAAUUGAUGACUUGUAUGAAGGAUUGGAUGAAAUAUAAACUGUCUCUUAGUUAUAAAUAGAAUUUAAUUUUUUUAUUAAAAAGUUGAGAUAAUUUAAAAAGACGAGAAGACCCUAUAGAGUUUUAUAGUUAAAUUAAUUAAUAUUAUUUAUUAAAUUAAAGUUAAAAUUAGUUUAUUUAUUGUGUUGGGGUGAUAAAAAAAUAUGUAUAACUUUUUUUAAAUAAAAACAUUUAUAAGUGAUUAAUUGAUCCAAUAUUAUUGAUUAUAAGAAAAAAUUACCUUAGGGAUAACAGCGUAAUUUUUUUUUUUAGU
RNAcentral lists this ribosomal RNA (352 nucleotides) under Manga nubifera. RNAcentral's name for it is "partial 16S ribosomal RNA". The record is from RNAcentral. Lineage: Eukaryota; Metazoa; Arthropoda; Insecta; Lepidoptera; Noctuidae.